UCACUGAGGCUGAGCUAAGCCAGGUGGUAUGACCUUGAACAUCCAGAACUGUGAGCUAGAAUAAGCCUCUUCACAAAGUACUGAGUCUCAGAUCCAAGAUUGAUUUCAAGAACUUCUGAGAUCGCUGUUCUUCUUGCAUUGAAAGUAAACCACAUGGCCCAGAUGUGAAAACUGGUUCAGAGACGUGUGACUACCUGCUGCCCAAGGUCACAGGGCAAGAGAAGGCCAUAUCAGUUCUGACCAAGGUCCCCUCUAUCCCGGUCCCUGUUCCUGUGGCUCAUGUAACCCUCACCCAGCCCCCGGGCUGUCACCUUCCCUGUCCUCCGGGGAGGGAUCUGUGACCCAGAGCAGUGCACUGAAGGAGCAGGUGCGGUGACAUCCCACCCUCAUGGAGCAGAGGUGCCUCUGAGACACCUGCAGCCCUGCCUCCUUCCUCCUACUGUGAGCUCUUCCUGUCAGGGAAGGGGAAGGAGAUAGGGACCAAGGUGUGACCUUGCCUGCUCUCCAGGUUCUGGCUCCCUCAGGGGACUCUAGGCGUGGGGUGAGUGGGGAAAGUCCCAAGCUGACAACCCAGGGACACUCUCAGCAACCUGUGGAAGCAGAAAGCAGCCCUGAGGGUCAGGGGGUGCUUCCUGGGAGAGAAGACAUCUGAGCU
Heterocephalus glaber (naked mole-rat) is the source of this 655-nucleotide non-coding RNA. Lineage: Eukaryota; Metazoa; Chordata; Mammalia; Rodentia; Bathyergidae. The record is from RefSeq and is a predicted model, not a curated record.